UGGGGAAUAUUGCACAAUGGGCGCAAGCCUGAUGCAGCCAUGCCGCGUGUGUGAAGAAGGCCUUCGGGUUGUAAAGCACUUUCAGCGAGGAGGAAGGCAUUAAGGUUAAUAACCUUAGUGAUUGACGUUACUCGCAGAAGAAGCACCGGCUAACUCCGUGCCAGCAGCCGCGGUAAUACGGAGGGUGCAAGCGUUAAUCGGAAUUACUGGGCGUAAAGCGCACGCAGGCGGUUUGUUAAGUCAGAUGUGAAAUCCCCGAGCUUAACUUGGGAGCUGCAUUUGAAACUGGCAAGCUAGAGUCUUGUAGAGGGGGGUAGAAUUCCAGGUGUAGCGGUGAAAUGCGUAGAGAUCUGGAGGAAUACCGGUGGCGAAGGCGGCCCCCUGGACAAAGACUGACGCUCAGGUGCGAAAGCGUGGGGCAGCAAACAGGAUUAGAUACCCUGGUAGUCCAGCGCUGUAAACGAUGUCGAUUUGGAGGUUGUGGGCUUGACCCGUGGCUUCCGGAGCUAACGCGUUAAAUCGACCGCCUGGGGAGUACGGCCGCAAGGUUAAA
Molecule: ribosomal RNA, 553 nt
Filed under: uncultured bacterium
Lineage: Bacteria
Description: partial 16S ribosomal RNA
Rfam family: Bacterial small subunit ribosomal RNA
Source: RNAcentral